CUUUAGAAAUCCUAAAGACUGGACUUAAGAGUUUGGACUUCAGUGAAAAGGAAGCAUUGCAGUGACCUUGCAGAGAGCAUUCUAAUUUUCCAGAAAUCCAGACAGAGUAAUUUAAACCUUAGGAGUUUGAGAGUGAAUUGCAUUGCCAUCAUGUGGAUGCAUGGAAGCUAACGUCUAGUCAGAAAAAUUCUGGAACCCUUUUCUAUUAGUUAGAAAUAAAAACAAAUUCAUAAUAGUUAUGAAAUUUGUUAAGUCAGAAUGCUUAUCAAAAUGUGGAAUGAAAUGAUAAUAAUUUAACUAUAGUACUGUCCAAGUAAACGCUGAAGUUAGUUUGACCCAAAUAAUAUGGGUUAUUAGUAUGAAUUAGAGUCCAACAUGUACAUUAAUGUCACUACUUAAUGACAUCUGGGGCUUACAGAAUCAGGUGUUAGGUGUUAGAAAAAUUAAGUAAUUAGAAAAUGAAUAUGCAAAAUAGCUAAAAUGGUAUGGGAUCAACAUGAUUCUUUUAUGUUUUCUUUAGGGUGGUAUUUCCAGACAUGGAACUGCAUGAAGGGGUGUUAGGGAAAAUCCUAUCUUCUCUCUUUGAACAAUUAAAGCUGUUAAAACGAGUUUAAGUUUCUUUUCUACUUAUGUAAAUGUGAUUUGAUGCAGCAAUUGCAGUACCAGAAGCAAACUGGCAAAAUUAAUGAGUGUUUGUUAGGCUCUGUGUAAUCUUAAAUUCAUCUAAGUCAAGAAUGAGUACUUGAGAUAGGAUAGGUUUGCAAAUACUCAUGGUGCAAAGAUCUAAACAGAUGUGAAAAUGUAAUCGUGCCUGUCUGUGCUCUUUUAGGACAGCUGCAGGCUGGGUGCUGUGUGCCUCCAGCUUUUUGGAGGACACAUGCCUGAGUUUUCUGAUUGGGAUCUUCUACUAUAUGCCUCUAGCCUCUGAUGUUUCUCCAUGGGUGGUUGCACGGUCUUAACAUGGUACAACACAGUUUGCAGUGGUUUAAGCAACUGUCCUCCUAGAAUUUAUAGUUCUUGUCUGUUAAGACUGGGACAAGUAAGAGACUGAUGGUGGAUCACUGGGACAUCGGGUAAGAUUUCUGCUAUUGCCACUUUUCUCUGUAGUACCCACAAUGGCA
RNAcentral lists this long non-coding RNA (1121 nucleotides) under Cyanistes caeruleus (blue tit). Its description in RNAcentral is "lncRNA (ENSCCEG00000018845.1)". Lineage: Eukaryota; Metazoa; Chordata; Aves; Passeriformes; Paridae. The record is from RNAcentral.